RNAcentral lists this ribosomal RNA (663 nucleotides) under uncultured bacterium. Its description in RNAcentral is "bacterial SSU rRNA". It matches the Rfam family "Bacterial small subunit ribosomal RNA", at positions 56 to 715 of the family's 1533-position model. The record is from RNAcentral.
UGCAAGUCGAACGAAGCUUGACGGAUGAUUUCUUCGGAAUGAAACCAGAUAUGACUUAGUGGCGGACGGGUGAGUAACACGUGAGCAACCUGCCUUUCAGAGGGGGAUAACGGCUGGAAACGGUCGCUAAUACCGCAUGACGUGUUCGGAUGGCAUCAUCUGAACAUCAAAGAUUUAUCGCUGAAAGAUGGGCUCGCGUCUGAUUAGAUAGUUGGUGGGGUAACGGCCUACCAAGUCUACGAUCAGUAGCCGGACUGAGAGGUUGAACGGCCACAUUGGGACUGAGAUACGGCCCAGACUCCUACGGGAGGCAGCAGUGGGGAAUAUUGCACAAUGGGGGAAACCCUGAUGCAGCAACGCCGCGUGAAGGAUGACGGUUUUCGGAUUGUAAACUUCUUUUCUUAGUGACGAAGACAGUGACGGUAGCUAAGGAAUAAGCAUCGGCUAACUACGUGCCAGCAGCCGCGGUAAUACGUAGGAUGCAAGCGUUAUCCGGAUUUACUGGGUGUAAAGGGAGCGCAGGCGGGACUGCAAGUUGGAUGUGAAAUACCGUGGCUUAACCACGGAACUGCAUCCAAAACUGUAGUUCUUGAGUGAAGUAGAGGCAAGCGGAAUUCCGAGUGUAGCGGUGAAAUGCGUAGAUAUUCGGAGGAACACCAGUGG